GGGGGUAUAGCUCAGGAGUAGACCCCUCGCUUCGCAUGCCAGAAGUCUGAGGUUCGAUUCCCCAUACCUCCA
This 72-nucleotide transfer RNA is filed under the name Angiostrongylus costaricensis. It matches the Rfam family "tRNA". From Rfam's summary of the family: Transfer RNA (tRNA) molecules are approximately 80 nucleotides in length. Lineage: Eukaryota; Metazoa; Nematoda; Chromadorea; Rhabditida; Metastrongylidae. The record is from Rfam by way of RNAcentral.